Molecule: ribosomal RNA, 677 nt
Filed under: uncultured archaeon
Lineage: Archaea
Description: bacterial SSU rRNA
Rfam family: Archaeal small subunit ribosomal RNA
Source: RNAcentral
CGUCUGCCCAAGGAUGGGUCUGCGGCCUAUCAGGUAGUAGUGGGUGUAAUGUACCUACUAGCCGACGACGGGUACGGGUUGUGAGAGCAAGAGCCCGGAGAUGGAUUCUGAGACAUGAAUCCAGGCCCUACGGGGCGCAGCAGGCGCGAAAACUUUACAAUGCGGGAAACCGUGAUAAGGGGACACCGAGUGCCAGCAUCAUAUGCUGGCUGUCCGGGUGUGUAAAAUACACCUGUUAGCAAGGGCCGGGCAAGACCGGUGCCAGCCGCCGCGGUAACACCGGCGGCCCGAGUGGUGAUCGUGAUUAUUGGGUCUAAAGGGUCCGUAGCCGGUUUGGUCAGUCCUCCGGGAAAUCUGACGGCUUAACCGUUAGGCUUCCGGAGGAUACUGCCAGGCUUGGAACCGGGAGAGGUAAGAGGUACUACAGGGGUAGGAGUGAAAUCUUGUAAUCCCUGUGGGACCACCUGUGGCGAAGGCGUCUUACCAGAACGGGUUCGACGGUGAGGGGCGAAAGCUGGGGGCACGAACCGGAUUAGAUACCCGGGUAGUCCCAGCCGUAAACGAUGCUCGCUAGGUGUCAGGCAUGGCGCGACCGUGUCUGGUGCCGUAGGGAAGCCGUGAAGCGAGCCACCUGGGAAGUACGGCCGCAAGGCUGAAACUUAAAGGAAUUGGCGGGG